CUCGCUGUGGCCUCCAGCGUGAAGUUGACGCGCGUGCCGCGGGUGAAGAAGUGGUGUGCAGACCAAAGUGCAGAAAGAGGUUAAGAAAGCCAGAAAGGGAACUCAGUGGGACGUGAACUCUACAAGCCAGGUGAAUGCAGCGGUGACUGUGGCCUGAGCAGCUUGGAGCCCCUCCAAACAGCACAGUAAGUAGGUGGAUUUCGUCAGCUGGCCUUAUGCUGGCUUGAUCUUUUCCUGUUGUGCUCAGAAGUGUGGUAGGUCAACAUGGGAAGAGGGAAAGAGAGAGAAGAUUUAACCAGCACUGAUAGAUCUGUAAUUAUUUAAGCAUUCUGAGCCUGAAAUGGAAUCUAAGAAGCACACA
RNAcentral lists this long non-coding RNA (361 nucleotides) under Gallus gallus (chicken). RNAcentral's name for it is "long non-coding RNA NONGGAT002123". Lineage: Eukaryota; Metazoa; Chordata; Aves; Galliformes; Phasianidae. The record is from RNAcentral.